UACGAGGGGAGCAAGCGUUGUUCGGAAUCAUUGGGCGUAAAGGGCGCGUAGGCGGCCUGCCCAAGUCCAGGGUGAAAGCCCUCGGCUCAACCGAGGAAUGGCCUUGGAUACUGUGCGGCUUGAGUAUUGGAGAGGAAAGCGGAAUUCCCAGUGUAGCGGUGAAAUGCGUAGAUAUUGGGAGGAACACCUGUGGCGAAGGCGGCUUUCUGGACAAUCACUGACGCUGAGGCGCGAAAGCUAGGGGAGCAAACGGG
This 254-nucleotide ribosomal RNA is filed under the name uncultured bacterium. RNAcentral's name for it is "partial 16S ribosomal RNA". It matches the Rfam family "Bacterial small subunit ribosomal RNA", at positions 524 to 776 of the family's 1533-position model. The record is from RNAcentral.